This 72-nucleotide transfer RNA is filed under the name Salmonella enterica subsp. enterica. Its description in RNAcentral is "tRNA-OTHER". It matches the Rfam family "tRNA". Rfam says of the family: Transfer RNA (tRNA) molecules are approximately 80 nucleotides in length. Their secondary structure includes four short double-helical elements and three loops (D, anti-codon, and T loops). The record is from RNAcentral. Lineage: Bacteria; Pseudomonadati; Pseudomonadota; Gammaproteobacteria; Enterobacterales; Enterobacteriaceae.
CGGGUCGUUAGCUCAGUUGGUAGAGCAGUUGACUUUCAUCAAUUGUCGCAGGUUCGGAACCUGCACGACUAA